RNAcentral lists this ribosomal RNA (497 nucleotides) under uncultured bacterium. Its description in RNAcentral is "partial 16S ribosomal RNA". It matches the Rfam family "Bacterial small subunit ribosomal RNA", at positions 28 to 507 of the family's 1533-position model. The record is from RNAcentral.
GAUGAACGCUGGCGGCGUGCCUAAUACAUGCAAGUCGAGCGAACAGACGAGGAGCUUGCUCCUCUGACGUUAGCGGCGGACGGGUGAGUAACACGUGGAUAACCUACCUAUAAGACUGGGAUAACUUCGGGAAACCGGAGCUAAUACCGGAUAAUAUAUUGAACCGCAUGGUUCAAUAGUGAAAGACGGUUUUGCUGUCACUUAUAGAUGGAUCCGCGCCGCAUUAGCUAGUUGGUAAGGUAACGACUUACCAAGGCAACGAUGCGUAGCCGACCUGAGAGGGUGAUCGGCCACACUGGAACUAAGACACGGUCCAGACUCCUACGGGAGGCAGCAGUAGGGAAUCUUCCGCAAUGGGCGAAAGCCUGACGGAGCAACGCCGCGUGAGUGAUGAAGGUCUUCGGAUCGUAAAACUCUGUUAUUAGGGAAGAACAAAUGUGUAAGUAACUAUGCACGUCUUGACGGUACCUAAUCAGAAAGCCACGGCUAACUACGUG